CCUACGGGUGACAGCAGUGGGGAAUAUUGCACAAUGGGGGAAACCCUGAUGCAGCGACGCCGCGUGAGUGAAGAAGUAAUUCUUUAUUUAAAGCUCUAUCUGCAGGGAAGAAAAUGACGGUACCUGAGUAAGAAGCCCCGUCUAACUACGUUCCAGCAGCCGCGGUAAUACGUAGGGGGCCAGCGUUAUCCGGAUUUACUGGGGUUAAAGGGAGCGUAGACGGGAGUGCAAGUCUGGAGUGAAAGGCGGAGGAUCAACCCCCGGACUGCUCUUGAAACUGGAAGGCUGGAGUGCAGGAGAGGUAAGUGGAAUUCGUGGUGUAGCGGUGAAAUGCGUAGAUAUCAGGAGGAACCCCAGUGGCGAAGGCAGCUUACUGGACUGUAACUGACGUUGAGGCUCGAAAGCGUGGGGAGCAAACAGGAUUAGAUACCCCGGUAGUG
RNAcentral lists this ribosomal RNA (440 nucleotides) under uncultured bacterium. Its description in RNAcentral is "partial 16S ribosomal RNA". It matches the Rfam family "Bacterial small subunit ribosomal RNA", at positions 338 to 795 of the family's 1533-position model. The record is from RNAcentral.